GUUGAACGCUGGCGGCAGGCCUAACACAUGCAAGUCGAGCGGAUGAAGGGAGCUUGCUCCUGGAUUCAGCGGCGGACGGGUGAGUAAUGCCUAGGACUCUGCCUGGUAGUUGGGGAUAACGUCCGGAAACGGGCGCUAAUACCGCAUACGUCCUGAGGUAGAAAGUGGGGGUUCUUCGGACCUCACGCUAUCAGAUGAGCCUAGGUCGGAUUAGCUAGUUGGUGGGGUAAAGGCCUACCAAGGCGACGAUCCGUAACUGGUCUGAGAGGAUGAUCAGUCACACUGGAACUGAGACACGGUCCAGACUCCUACGGGAGGCAGCAGUGGGGAAUAUUGGACAAUGGGCGAAAGCCUGAUCCAGCCACGCCGCGUGUGUGAAGAAGGUCUUCGGAUUGUAAAGCACUUUAAGUUGGGAGGAAGGGCAGUAAGUUAAUACCUUGCUGUUUUGACGUUACCAACAGAAUAAGCACCGGCUAACUUCGUG
Molecule: ribosomal RNA, 484 nt
Filed under: uncultured bacterium
Lineage: Bacteria
Description: partial 16S ribosomal RNA
Rfam family: Bacterial small subunit ribosomal RNA
Source: RNAcentral